Molecule: ribosomal RNA, 301 nt
Filed under: uncultured bacterium
Lineage: Bacteria
Description: partial 16S ribosomal RNA
Rfam family: Bacterial small subunit ribosomal RNA
Source: RNAcentral
CAGUAGCCACGGUAAAACGUAGGUCCCGAGCGUUAUCCGGAUUUAUUGGGCGUAAAGCGAGCGCAGGCGGUUAGAUAAGUCUGAAGUUAAAGGCUGUGGCUUAACCAUAGUACGCUUUGGAAACUGUUUAACUUGAGUGCAGAAGGGGAGAGUGGAAUUCCAUGUGUAGCGGUGAAAUGCGUAGAUAUAUGGAGGAACACCGGUGGCGAAAGCGGCUCUCUGGUCUGUAACUGACGCUGAGGCUCGAAAGCGUGGGGAGCAAACAGGAUUAGAUACCCCAGUAGUCCCUGUCUCUUAUACA